GACGAACGCUGGCGGCGUGCCUAAUACAUGCAAGUUGAGCGAUGAAGAUUGGUGCUUGCCCCAAUUUGAAGAGCAGCGAACGGGUGAGUAACGCGUGGGGAAUCUGCCUUUGAGCGGGGGACAACAUUUGGAAACGAAUGCUAAUACCGCAUAACAACUUUAAACAUAAGUUUUAAGUUUGAAAGAUGCAAUUGCAUCACUCAAAGAUGAUCCCGCGUUGUAUUAGCUAGUUGGUGAGGUAAAGGCUCACCAAGGCGAUGAUACAUAGCCGACCUGAGAGGGUGAUCGGCCACAUUGGGACUGAGACACGGCCCAAACUCCUACGGGAGGCAGCAGUAGGGAAUCUUCGGCAAUGGACGAAAGUCUGACCGAGCAACGCCGCGUGAGUGAAGAAGGUUUUCGGAUCGUAAAACUCUGUUGGUAGAGAAGAACGUUGGUGAGAGUGGAAAGCGCAUCAAGUGACGGUAACUACCCAGAAAGGGACGGCUAACUACGU
This 496-nucleotide ribosomal RNA is filed under the name uncultured bacterium. RNAcentral's name for it is "partial 16S ribosomal RNA". It matches the Rfam family "Bacterial small subunit ribosomal RNA", at positions 28 to 506 of the family's 1533-position model. The record is from RNAcentral.